UCUUGAAGAUGCAAUGUCAGCUAUUUAGGACAGAAACAUCCAAGGCCGUGCUAGGACUCAAUGACAACAACAUGUGCAUUAAGACAGGAACUGGCAAGCCCCGGGACUACAGCAACUAUAGAGCUGGUGCUUCCCAACCGCCGGGCUAUAAUCUAUGAAACUGAUCCCGGAUCCAGCCAAUCAGUUAGCUCCUCAUAACAAGUCUAACUGGCUCUGGACAGCUGAAGGGCUGUGCUGGAGCGCAGCAGAGGAGAUAUUCCACACAGCACUCUGCUUAUCUAUACAGUCACUUUGCCUGGAAAGGCCAGAGGGGGGAAAAAAAAAACCACAGCUUCUUUGUCUCAGGGAAGGAGGACAGGUGAUCUGCACAGUCUGAAGCCGGAGCAAGAUCUCCUGGUGUGGCAAUCCAAGCAAGUACCGGCGUUAAAGGACCAGAGCCACCCCCAGACACCAAAGGGCGAGCCCGCAGACAAACCCUGAGUUGCGAUCACUGAGCCUGGAAGAGCUUACGUGAUUUGCCCAGUCACUACAGCCGCUGUUGUUUCCAGGGUUGGAAUACUUCUCCACUCUCGCACAGGAAAGAGGUCCCUCUACUACGUGCAAAGGGGUGGUGUAAAAAGCACAAUUAUGGCAGACCACGGGUCAAUUUAUGGAUCUUGAAAGAAGUUGAUCAUGCUUUCAACAGCCAAAGACUGCUAAAUUAAAACCCUGCUUCUAAAAUAUUAUUUUCAAUAGGAACAUAAUUUAAUUAGGAAGAAGCUCUCUUCUCCAUUGGGGACAGAAAAAUACUUCUAAGGAUUUCAUGUGUUUUACCUCACAUUAUCACUUAAACCUUUUGUGACCUGCUUUCAAAUUUUUCCUAAUACUGACAUUUCUGAGUAGGUGGAUCAUCCACCCUUCAACUGAGAACUUCUCUUGGGUCAUCUUUUACUGCCUCCUUUGGUCAUCAUCAUCAUCGGCAGAGUUGGAUGUAACGUGGAGAAGGAUGUAACAUGGAGAAGGAUGCAACAAUGGCUGUGCAGGUGACAGUGGCAAUGACAGCCAUGGUACCAGUAGUAUCAACCAUAGCAACCACAGGUAUGGAGGCAACAGUAGCAGAGAGGCAGAAACAGAGGUGGUAGUCGGGGAGGCAGCCUCCAACAGCACCACCAGGAGGGUGGCAGUAGUGACAGGGGCAAUGGUGAACAGAGGCAGCUGGAGAGUUCCAGGGAAUGCCCAGGGCAGAAAUAACAAGAAACAGGAGAAACAACCUAGGCCCAGAAGCUGGGAUCAUAUCUGCUGUCGAAGUCUAGGAAUCCCAACUUCCUAGACCUGUGUAAGAGCUGCAGUGCUUGUCACAAGAGAGCCAAGAAUUUAGCGUCCUGAGGCCUGGACCAGAACAGUAACACUAGAGAAGCAGUGGGCUAUCAGUCCCUGUCCAUCUGCUGCCAGGAAUUAGUGGUGAAGAGACUGGUAGGUACCAGCACCAGAAAACUGACUCUUCCUCUACCCAUAAUUCCCCCACUUGAAUCGACCAAAAGAUCCACAGUUCAUCAGUAACACGUCCAGAUGGUAGAGGAGGUCACAGUUCAAGCAUCCUAUCAAAUCAGCAGUCCAUUACCUCAAAGCAUUAAUUUCAACAUUUUAAGACUUUUGAUGGCCUCUGACAUGGAACAAGCAGAAUAUUUUCAUAUGCAUUCGUCCAGUUCCACAGCAAAUAUGAAUUCUGUAACAUGGGGCAUUCUCUUUAGAACUUUAAAAAUAUUGUAUUCAAUAUUCAUACAUGUAUGUAAUGGAUUUUGAUCAAAUCCACCACUUACAAUCGCUCCCCUUACCUUCCCUACCACUUUCUCCUCUCACUUCAUGUCCUCUUUACAUGUACUCACUGAGUGCUGCCUGUAUGUACAUGAGUUUGAACCAUCUGCUGGAGCAUUGGUAGCCUAUCAGGAUUUGAUCCCUGAAGAAAACUGACUCUCCCUCCCCCAGCAGCCAUCAAGUACCAAUAGCUCCUCAGAUCGGGGUGGGACUUUACCUUCCCCAUCUGUGCUGGGAUUUGGGUUGGCUGAAUCUUGUAUCAAUCUUGAGCACGCAGUCCCAGCUACUAUGAGUUCAAGUUAUGCAACUGGAACUUGCUUAUAAGUUACUGCAUGCAUUGACAAACAUUUUAGACCUAAAACCUCAGGUUAGGGCCUUAGACAAGCACAAUGUAAUGGUGCUUUCCACAGCAAGUGUCUUGUGAUGUUCUGAAAUACUGCGGUUGAGUUUCGUGCUUCCAUACCUUCUGUUCACAUAGAUACAGCAUGUGGAACAAAGAUAUUCAUAUUAGUAUCAGCAACCGUAGUGAAUGAAAAUGGAAGGGUAUGAAAGAACUCAGGACAUUCUCUCCCCAACUCACAUGGUAGAAAACAAAUCAAAACAUUACCUAUAGAUGGCUACAAGUACUCCUACACUGUAAAUAUUUGAUUCUCUGCCUGGUGUACUAUUUUGUCAAUAAAUAUUCCCUGUUUUAUGUUC
Long non-coding RNA from Peromyscus californicus insignis, 2493 nucleotides. RefSeq lists it as uncharacterized. NCBI's taxonomy places the organism in Eukaryota, Metazoa, Chordata, Mammalia, Rodentia, Cricetidae. The transcript has 3 exons. The record is from RefSeq and is a predicted model, not a curated record.